AUUGAACGCUGGCGGCAUGCUUUACACAUGCAAGUCGAACGGCAGCACAGCAGAGCUUGCUCUGUGGGUGGCGAGUGGCGGACGGGUGAGGAAUACGUGGGAAUCUGCCCAGUCGUGGGGGAUAACGUAGGGAAACUUACGCUAAUACCGCAUGCGCCCUUCGGGGGAAAGCCGGGGACCUUCGGGCCUGGCGCGAUUGGAUGAGCCCACGUCGGAUUAGCUAGUUGGCGGGGUAAAGGCCCACCAAGGCGACGAUCCGUAGCUGGUCUGAGAGGAUGAUCAGCCACACUGGAACUGAGACACGGUCCAGACUCCUACGGGAGGCAGCAGUAGGGAAUAUUGCGCAAUGGGCGAAAGCCUGACGCAGCGACGCAGCGUGAGGGACGACGGCCUUGGUUGUAAACCUCUUUCUAGCGGGGACGAAGCGAAAGUGACGGUACCCGCAGAAGAAGCACCGGCUAACUAACGUGCCAGCAGCCGCGGUAAU
RNAcentral lists this ribosomal RNA (487 nucleotides) under uncultured bacterium. Its description in RNAcentral is "bacterial SSU rRNA". It matches the Rfam family "Bacterial small subunit ribosomal RNA", at positions 29 to 524 of the family's 1533-position model. The record is from RNAcentral.